AUUUAAGCAAGUGCAGCUGUUUCUUGAGUUUCCUAGGCAAAGGAGCAGGAGUGAGAUGUACUUGGAUGAAAGGUUCAGAAGUAAAUUACCACAAAAAUGCAGAUGGAACCUGUAAUACUUGCCUCCACAUCAUUCAUCCAGCGGUCUGGGAGCCGCAGAUCAGCGUGUGAAAGACAGCAGUUAAAAUACAGGGCCCGUUCCUAUCUCCUCUGCUAUGCACUGGUGUAAAUCAAGCCUAAGACUCAUGAACCCAAUGGAGUGUAAAAUUGGUGUGAGUGAGAAUCAGUGCCAUCUCCUGUACCUAUAUGUCAGAUAAAAUAUUUGUUUCAAGUGUUUAUAGACACUGUUAUCAUAAAUAGCUUAUUUUCUUAUACAUUAAAUAGAUCAAAAGAAACCAGAGUAAUUUUCUAACAUGACUAAAAUAAACGCAUAUAUUUAUUGCCAUGUCACUUGCAGGAGUCACGCUCUCAUUGAAUCUAAGUAAGAAACCGGUGAUUGAUUUUUAUUUUUUUUCUUGUUUUAAUAAAAGGAAUCACAGCACUCUA
RNAcentral lists this long non-coding RNA (545 nucleotides) under Gallus gallus (chicken). Its description in RNAcentral is "lncRNA (ENSGALG00010022580.1)". Lineage: Eukaryota; Metazoa; Chordata; Aves; Galliformes; Phasianidae. The record is from RNAcentral.